GGCGGUCUUCGGUAGUGGCUGCCGGGCUCCCCGCGCGGGCAGGUCGGCCGCUUCGAUCGAUGGCCGCA
Molecule: non-coding RNA, 68 nt
Organism: Mycobacterium sp. 1274756.6
Lineage: Bacteria; Bacillati; Actinomycetota; Actinomycetes; Mycobacteriales; Mycobacteriaceae
Source: Rfam